GAGGAGGAUCAUUACUGAGUUUACGCUCUACAACCCUUUGUGAACAUACCUAUAACUGUUGCUUCGGCGGGUAGGGUCUCCGCGACCCUCCCGGCCUCCCGCCUCCGGGCGGGUCGGCGCCCGCCGGAGGAUAACCAAACUCUGAUUUAACGACGUUUCUUCUGAGUGGUACAAGCAAAUAAUCAAAACUUUUAACAACGGAUCUCUUGGUUCUGGCAUCGAUGAAGAACGCAGCGAAAUGCGAUAAGUAAUGUGAAUUGCAGAAUUCAGUGAAUCAUCGAAUCUUUGAACGCACAUUGCGCCCGCCAGCAUUCUGGCGGGCAUGCCUGUUCGAGCGUCAUUUCAACCCUCAAGCUCUGCUUGGUGUUGGGGCCCUACAGCUGAUGUAGGCCCUCAAAGGUAGUGGCGGACCCUCUCGGAGCCUCCUUUGCGUAGUAACUUUACGUCUCGCACUGGGAUCCGGAGGGACUCUUGCCGUAAAACCCCCAAUUUUCCAAAGGUUGACCUC
Molecule: ribosomal RNA, 508 nt
Filed under: Colletotrichum gloeosporioides
Lineage: Eukaryota; Fungi; Ascomycota; Sordariomycetes; Glomerellales; Glomerellaceae
Description: eukaryotic LSU rRNA
Rfam family: 5.8S ribosomal RNA (bases 187-340)
Source: RNAcentral